Molecule: ribosomal RNA, 865 nt
Filed under: uncultured archaeon
Lineage: Archaea
Description: bacterial SSU rRNA
Rfam family: Archaeal small subunit ribosomal RNA
Source: RNAcentral
UUUUCCGGUUGAUCCUGCCAGAGGCCAUUGCUAUCAGGGUUUGACUAAGCCAUGCGAGUCGAGAGGUGUAAGACCUCGGCAUACUGCUCAGUAACACGUGGUUAACCUGCCCUAAGGUGGAGAAUACUCCCGGGAAACUGGGGCUAAUGCUCCAUAGUGGAUAUGUCCUGGAAUGGUAUAUCCUCGAAAGAUCCGUCGCCUUAGGAUGGGACUGCGUCCGAUUAGGUUGUUGGCGGGGUAACGGCCCACCAAGCCAUUGAUCGGUACGGGUUGUGGGAGCAAGAUCCCGGAGAUGGAUUCUGAGACAUGAAUCCAGGCCCUACGGGGCGCAGCAGGCGCGCAAACUUUACAAUGCGAGCAAUCGUGAUAAGGAAACCCUGAGUGCCUGUCGAUGCAGGCUGUUCAUAUAUCUAAAUCAUAUGUGAAGAAAGGGCAGGGCAAGACCGGUGCCAGCCGCCGCGGUAAUACCGGCUGCUCGAGUGAUGGCCACUAUUACUGGGUUUAAAGCGUCCGUAGCUUGACUGUUAGGUCUCUUGGGAAAUCUUCACGCUCAACGUGAAGGCGUCUAAGAGAUACCGGCAGUCUUGGAACUGGGAGAGGUAAACCGUACUUCGGGGGUAGGAGUGAAAUCUUGUAAUCCUCGAGGGACGACCUAUGGCGAAGGCAGUUUACCAGAACAGCUUCGACAGUGAGGGACGAAAGCUGGGGGAGCAAACGGGAUUAGAUACCCCGGUAGUCCCAGCCGUAAACAAUGUGCGUUAGGUGUGUCGGUAACCACGUGUUACUGAUGCGCCGAAGAGAAAUCGUGAAACGCACCACCUGGGAAGUACGGUCGCAAGGCUGAAACUUAAAGGAAUUGGCGGGA